Pelobates cultripes (western spadefoot toad) is the source of this 216-nucleotide non-coding RNA. The record is from the annotation of a GenBank genome assembly. Lineage: Eukaryota; Metazoa; Chordata; Amphibia; Anura; Pelobatidae.
CCCAAUUUCCUCACGAAGCUUGCCAUCAAGCUGUUAACUUUUCCCCUGCAUCUGUCGAUGGCCACCGGGUCCCUCGUGUGCCGCCACCGACGCCUCGGAACGAUCUCAGACCACACCAGCAUCACCCCAGGAAGCAGAUCGAACAACCUGUUCAGGUCCUGCUUCAUCCAUUUAACCAACCUACGUUGCGGAAUGAGGCCCAGGUCAUUGCCCCCC